UUUAAGUGCAACCAUAAAUUUUCACGCUCAAUUUUGAUCAUCUGUUUUAUUUAAAAUUAUUUUAUAAUUAGUAUUUUUAUUAUUAUGAGAUGAUAAAAUAGGAAUAAUAAUUUACUCGUCACAUAUGUUUUUAUUUUUUAUUAAAUAAGAUGAAUGGUUAAAAUUAUGCAUGAAAAACUAUAACUAUACUUAAA
Non-coding RNA from Oryza meridionalis, 194 nucleotides. Lineage: Eukaryota; Viridiplantae; Streptophyta; Magnoliopsida; Poales; Poaceae. The record is from Rfam.